Long non-coding RNA from Prunus avium (sweet cherry), 1031 nucleotides. RefSeq lists it as uncharacterized. Lineage: Eukaryota; Viridiplantae; Streptophyta; Magnoliopsida; Rosales; Rosaceae. The record is from RefSeq and is a predicted model, not a curated record.
UCUCCUUGUCUCCAACCUGUGAAACAACUUCCUCUUCUUCCACACCAAGUCCACUAUGGAUGAUCGCCGAGAUCCAAUCCCUCCCUCUCACAUUCGCCUUUCUCUCUCUCUUUCUUUCUCAAAUCUUGAGGCCAAUCAAGAAAAAGAUUGUACUGUCUUCAUCUUCCUCCUUCCCAUCAAGAAAAAGAUUAUUCGCUCAAAGAAUCUACAGUCGCAACCUUCAAUCUGCUACCUCCUCAAUUUCAUCCUGGUUUGUCUUGGUUGGUAGCCUAGAGAGGAUUUGUUUCUUCAGCAAAAAUGGUAACUAAAAUGGUGGAUCUGCCGGUCACUAAACCUAGUGGGUGAAACAAUGCAGGCCGCAAUGGCAGCUGCCGAAGUUCAUGAUGAUGUCAAAAGCCUAGAAGGCUCAGGAAAACCUUAGGAGGUGGAAUGAGACAGGUUGGUAUCCUUUGUGCUGCUGCUUUGGUCGCUUUACAUGAGAAUGUUGCAAACCUCGACACCGAUCACAAGAGAGCUAAGAUUUUAGCAGGUGUAUCCUCAGUCUACUUGAUUUUGUAUACCAAACUCUUGUUUGGAGAACAGCCAUCGCCUUCUCUUCUCAAGCUCUAUUCAUGGAUUUUCUUAUAUUUCCUUUUGAUAAAUUCAGAGGGACUAAAUCAAAUCAAAGAAAUCGUUGAGACCAACAUUGUGAGUAUCAUCUGCUCAAAUUUAGUCUAGCCGGCCCUGAAUUUAUUUCUACCAUUUACUUUUAUCGUUCUUUCAGCGAGCUCUGACUGGAGGCCAUGAUGAAAAUGGAAACUAUCAACACAAGUUCCACCCUUCUCUCUGUGUCUCCAACAUGAUUUCAUCUACCUUUGAACAUGCAAUUAUUCAAUCUUUGCCAAACUUGUAAACUUCUGUGCUAGUUUCAUUUGUAAGAUUUUAUGGUGGCAGAAUUUAAUGUGUUUUAUUUUAUUUUUUCAUGUAUAUAACAUGACAAUCAAAGACUUUCACCCAUCCUGCUUAUCAAUAUUUGACUUUCUCUAUUAAAA